RNAcentral lists this ribosomal RNA (448 nucleotides) under uncultured bacterium. RNAcentral's name for it is "bacterial SSU rRNA". It matches the Rfam family "Bacterial small subunit ribosomal RNA", at positions 337 to 802 of the family's 1533-position model. The record is from RNAcentral.
UCCUACGGGAGGCAGCAGUGGGGAAUCUUGCGCAAUGGGGGAAACCCUGACGCAGCGACGCCGCGUGGAGGAUGAAGGCCUUCGGGUUGUAAACUCCUUUUCUCAGGGAAAAUGGUGAUGGUACCUGAGGAAUAAGCACCGGCUAACUCCGUGCCAGCAGCUGCGGUAAUACGGAGGGUGCAAGCAUUAAUCGGAUUUAUUGGGCGUAAAGGGCGCGUAGGCGGGGAUAAAAGUCAGAUGUGAAAUCCCGGGGCUCAACCUCGGAACAGCAUUUGAAACUCUAUCUCUAGAGGGUAGGCGGAGAAAACGGAAUUCCACAAGUAGCGGUGAAAUGCGUAGAUAUGUGGAAGAACACCGGUGGCGGAGGCGGUUUUCUAGCUUAUUCCUGACGCUGAGGCGCGAAAGCAAGGGGAUCAAACAGGAUUAGAUACCCGAGUAGUCCAAGCCG